Molecule: small RNA, 466 nt
Filed under: Malus domestica (apple)
Lineage: Eukaryota; Viridiplantae; Streptophyta; Magnoliopsida; Rosales; Rosaceae
Source: RNAcentral
UUGGGAGCUCACUGGCUUUGGGUUCCGUCGGAACUCCAAAGUUAAGCAAGAAGGAGGUCAGAGCACUCCCAGGAUGGGUGACCCACUGGGAAGUUGCUCAUGAGUUCCCAAAAACAAAACCGUGAGGGAAUGGUAAGCCCAAAGCGGACAAUAUCGUGCUACAGUGGUGGAACGGGCCCGGGAAGUGAUCCGUCCCGGGCCGGGAUGUGACGAUUUGGUAUCAGAGCCUAACCCUCGCCGCGUGUGUGCCAACGAGGACGUCAGGCCCCUAAGGGGGGUGGAUUGUGACAUCCCACAUCGCUCAGGGAGUGAUCCUUAAAUGUAUAUUCUCAUCCCUACCUAGCACGAGGCUUUUUGGGAGCUCACUGGCUUCGGGUUCCGUCGGAACUCCGAAGUUAAGCGAGAAGGAGGCCAGAGCACUCCUAUGAUGGGUGACCCACUGGGAAGUUGCUCGUGAGUUCCCAAA